Molecule: ribosomal RNA, 833 nt
Filed under: Streptomyces flavidovirens
Lineage: Bacteria; Bacillati; Actinomycetota; Actinomycetes; Kitasatosporales; Streptomycetaceae
Description: bacterial SSU rRNA
Rfam family: Bacterial small subunit ribosomal RNA
Source: RNAcentral
GACGAACGCUGGCGGCGUGCUUAACACAUGCAAGUCGAACGAUGAAGCCCUUCGGGGUGGAUUAGUGGCGAACGGGUGAGUAACACGUGGGCAAUCUGCCCUUCACUCUGGGACAAGCCCUGGAAACGGGGUCUAAUACCGGAUAACACUUCUUCGGGCAUCUGAAGAGGUUAAAAGCUCCGGCGGUGAAGGAUGAGCCCGCGGCCUAUCAGCUUGUUGGUGGGGUAAUGGCCUACCAAGGCGACGACGGGUAGCCGGCCUGAGAGGGCGACCGGCCACACUGGGACUGAGACACGGCCCAGACUCCUACGGGAGGCAGCAGUGGGGAAUAUUGCACAAUGGGCGAAAGCCUGAUGCAGCGACGCCGCGUGAGGGAUGACGGCCUUCGGGUUGUAAACCUCUUUCAGCAGGGAAGAAGCGAAAGUGACGGUACCUGCAGAAGAAGCGCCGGCUAACUACGUGCCAGCAGCCGCGGUAAUACGUAGGGCGCAAGCGUUGUCCGGAAUUAUUGGGCGUAAAGAGCUCGUAGGCGGCUUGUCGCGUCGGAUGUGAAAGCCCGGGGCUUAACCCCGGGUCUGCAUUCGAUACGGGCAGGCUAGAGUGUGGUAGGGGAGAUCGGAAUUCCUGGUGUAGCGGUGAAAUGCGCAGAUAUCAGGAGGAACACCGGUGGCGAAGGCGGAUCUCUGGGCCAUUACUGACGCUGAGGAGCGAAAGCGUGGGGAGCGAACAGGAUUAGAUACCCUGGUAGUCCACGCCGUAAACGUUGGGAACUAGGUGUUGGCGACAUUCCACGUCGUCGGUGCCGCAGCUAACGCAUUAAGUUCCCCGCCUGG